GGCCCACCAAGGCGACGAUCAGUAGCCGGCCUGAGAGGGCGGCCGGCCACAUUGGGACUGAGACACGGCCCAGACUCCUGCGGGAGGCAGCAGUGGGGAAUAUUGCACAAUGGGGGAAACCCUGAUGCAGCGACGCCGCGUGAGCGAUGAAGUAUCUCGGUAUGUAAAGCUCUAUCAGCAGGGAAGAAAGUGACAGUACCUGACUAAGAAGCCCCGGCUAACUACGUGCCAGCAGCCGCGGUAAUACGUAGGGGGCAAGCGUUAUCCGGAUUCACUGGGCGUAAAGGGAGCGCAGGCGGCACGGCAAGUCUGGUGUGAAAACCCGGGGCUCAACCCCGGGACUGCAUUGGAAACUGCCGGGCUGGAGUGUCGGAGGGGUAAGCGGAAUUCCUAGUGUAGCGGUGAAAUGCGUAGAUAUUAGGAGGAACACCAGUGGCGAAGGCGGCUUACUGGACGAUGACUGACGCUGAGGCUCGAAAGCGUGGGGAGCAA
RNAcentral lists this ribosomal RNA (492 nucleotides) under uncultured bacterium. RNAcentral describes it as "bacterial SSU rRNA". It matches the Rfam family "Bacterial small subunit ribosomal RNA", at positions 262 to 771 of the family's 1533-position model. The record is from RNAcentral.